GACACCAAACCCCCGGAAGGGGGGCUCAGAGCGAGUGACUUGGGCACUGCCGGAGGGCAGUGUGGCGAAGAGAGCAACGCGACUGGAAGCUUCCAGAGGGGAAACGCCACGUAAGCGGAGGCCGGUGCGGGUGGAAUGGACUGAUUCCGGGGGACAGACGACGGCCCCCCGCUACGGUGGCACGUGGGAAGGAUGUCAGAACCAGAGAAGUGGAAGACGUGGGAGUAUAAUCCUUUCUGCAUUUCUACAUAUUCGAAUUAAACAUUUAAAUCUGCUAGCAGGAGAAUCCUGAAAGCAGUUUGGCUUCAAGAAGGAGCAAGAUUGGGGCAGGGCCAGCUGAACACACACUGCAGCUGCUGGAGGCUCCGUUGUUGCAAUGAGCUCGGUCUGAGCAUAUUCCUGUAAGGGCGCAGAGCACCAAUGAAUUCAUGAGGCUAGUUGCAUUGUGUAAAGGACUGAUGGAUCAAAGAUCUGUGGAGUGUUGCUGCUUUCUUGCUGAUUGCAGGGGAUUGCAUUAGCAGAGCUGCUGAAUUUUGAUAAGGACUGUACAAGUUAAGACUUCGUAGGGAAGAGAAAGAGAGGAACAAGAGCUAUGGCAAGAGGAUUACACAGUUGUUAAAGAUAUUGAAGCACAUCUUGAAGAUUACCAGAUUCUUCAUUUCCUACUGUAUCUGCCAGACUGUGCAACAGAGUUGAUCUGUGACAUCCUUCCAAUCAAAACUAAAGAUUUCAUAGUUUGUUGUGGUAGUUUCAUCUUAUUUAAUGUUGGAAUAGAAGCUUGGAGUGGGAUAUUUUUCUUCCCAAUCUCAUUAAAUCUUUUUAAAAUCUUUGAUACGCUCACUCCUGGGCAUGAAGGCCAUAUAAUGAAACAUAUUUAUUAGCUCAUUUUUAAAAAAGAGUAACUAAUAUAUUGCUUCAUUCAUACAAAGGAUGAUUUUAAUGCUGAUUUUGCAAAUUUUAUCUUUAUAUAGGGUUAUUAUGUGGCAUAUAGACUCGUAAAAUACUUUUUUAUGUUAUUGAUGACAUUGACUCUUUACCUAGUUUGUCCUUCAUGAAUUCCCCUUCAUUCUAGUUGCUAAACCAGUUCUAUUUUUUGGCAAGAACUAUUAAGAAACUUUUAAAUUAUGCUAUCUCAUAAAGAGAGGAAACUAUUCUAUGGAUAGCACAGUCUCUGGGGAUGCAUGUUCCAAAUAAUGUAAUACUUGCUUCAUACUUGGUACUCAUGAGUAAAUGAAUAUUAGUACAUUCUAUGUAGUUCUGUGAUGAUGAGUUCAGUUUAGAAUUCAACUAAACCAGUUACCUUUCCCAAAACUGCUUUCAUUUGGGAAUACUCUCUCCAGCUUAGUUACCUGGGGUGAAUUUCUGGCCCUUGCUGAAUUAGUCGGAGUUUUGUAAUUGACUUCAGUUGGGUAGGAUUCCACUGCUGGUGUUUCAUAAAUGCUAAGAUCUGAAGUGAUUAUCUGGUUUGACCUCCUGUAUGGCACAGGCCAUUUAAAUUUCCCCAAAUAAUUCCUAGAACAGAUCUUUUAAAAAACAACCAACCUUGAUUGUAGAAUUGCCAGUGAUGGAGAAUCUACCAUGACCUCCAACAAAUUGUUCUAGUGAUUAAUUACUUACAGUGUUAAAAAUUUACAUCUUAUUUCCAGUCUGAAUUUCUCUAGGUUCAAUUUCCAGCCAUUGGAUUGUGUCAUACAUUAUGCUGCUAGAUGGAAGAGCCCAUUAUUAAAUAUUAGGUCUCCAUGUAGGUGCUUAUACUGUAACCAAGUCACUCCUUAACUUUCUCUUUGUUAACAUAAAUAGAUUAAGCACCUUGAGUUUUUAUCACUAAAUGGCAUAUUUUUACCCCUUUAGUCAUUCUCAUGUUUAUGAACUCUCUCUGAUUUCUUCUGAGUUCUUUCUUGAACUGUGGAUACCAGAACAUGAGUUAGACAGAAUCAAGAAAUCUAACACUCAAGAGAAUUUUUAUUUUAUUUUAAGUGUAAGUGCAUUGGAUUUGUUUCUGUACCAACAUAGUAGAGCACACUUAGAAGUUGCUAUGAUAUGUGAUGGAAAUCAGAAAACUUCACAGUUUUUAAAGCAAAUGCAUGGAUUUUCACAAAAAGCAAACUAUGGUGCAUUUGACUCCAACAAAUCUCCCUCCAGAGUACUUGAAAACACCACUUAGAAAUGCAGAAUGAUUGUAAGCCAGAAAGACAUUGUAGAACUGCAGUGUGGAGGGACUCAUUGGGGAUUUAGACACAUCUGACUAAUCAAGGCAGGAGCUUAAAGGCUCCCAGUUAUAUUUGACCUUCGUUGUUAGCUUUUGUGUAUUAGGUUUAUAUGGCUUUGGCUUUGCAUCACAUUUUUGGUUGAAGGAGAAGCAGUUUAUGUUGAUGUAAAAUGAUGAACAGAAAUAUUGGAAUAUGCUAAAGCUAUUAUCAGUUCCACUCUUUAUCCUUCAGUCCUUCUAAAGACCAUUCUUAUGGAGUUAAAUAUAAAAAUUCAGAAGAAUUGAAUACCUGUCAAAAACUUGAGAAUUGUUAAAAGGGAGGGAAAAAAUAAAAUAACCAGCAGAUUUCUAUAACCAGCAGAUUGCUUCAUCACUCGUCCUUGGUGUUUGUAUCUUUGAUACUUUAUGUGUGGUAUACGCUCUUACUCUGCACUUUAGAAAGGGAUUAAGUUAAUGUGCACAAAAGCACUUUUGUGGAAUAAGGUGUCCAUAUGAGGAGUCUGUGUGGAACAGCUAUGCCAACAUAACUCCCUAAUGUAGAUGCAGCUUACAUGGAAGGAAUUUUUAGGUUGGUGUAGGAGUACCAUAUCCUUGAACAAUGUUAGCUACGACAAAGGAAGCACUCUUCCUGCACUGGGGUUUUUGUUAGCACAACUAUGUUGAUCAGGGAUAUGUUUUAUUCAUCCUUCCCCACCUGGACCACUGUACCAAUGCCAAUAUAACUAUUCAGGGUGGACUAAAGUCUAAGGCCUUUUCCAUACUUACCCAGAAAUCAGCGUUCUGGAGAUCAAUCUUCUGGGCUUCAAUUUAGCAGGUCUAGUAAGGGCUCGCUAAAUUGAGUGCUGCUGAUGGUGCCCCCAUCGACUCCAGUACUCCAUGGGUUCAUGAGGAGUAAGGGAACUUUCCCUCACUGACCUCUCUCAGUGGGUAACCGUGGUAUGUUGAACUAAGGUACAUAAACAAAAGCUCUACUAUUCACGUAACUGGAGUUGCAUAUCUUAGCUUGACUUUCUCCCCCAGUGUUGACCUGGCCUAGUGAGAAGCUACAGUUCAAGGUCAUAGCUAAUUUGUAUACCUGAAGUAAGAGUGGAUGUAAAUUUUCAGCCAUGUCUCCCAUCUUCAGCCAUAAUUUCUUCUGAUUUUUGACACACCCAAAACUGAACUUUUGAACUUCCUUCCGGCAUGCCCUAAUUGCUCACCUUGAAAAUUCUCCUGAAUAAGAAUAAUUCAGUCUCCAGACUCCUGGAUGUAAGUCACAUUGGCAUCAGUAGGUGUUAGGCACACAUCUCCUGAGGAGAAUUGAGCCUCUAGGCUCUGAUUUUUAAAUUGUGCACACAACUGUGUAAAAAUAUACAAAUUGUGUGGUCAUUUAAACAAAAGUGUAACACUUUUGGAUUCAAUAGGGUAAACAAGUAUGUACAUCAAAGAAGAAUCUGGGGCCUAUAAUUACUGUGGUUGAAUGAACAAAUUGAGAAUUUAUAAAUAUCCAGUUAUGAAUCUAACCAGUCAAAUACGUGUGCAGAUACUCAGUUUGUGCAUGCAGUCAUAAGUAACUGCUUGUGUAAUUAAGCAUGCAAUUGGACACCAAUAUUUUGCAUAUUAAUUUUGAAAAUCAGGCCAUCUGUGUUGCAGUAUUCUGCUAUUCUGUUUUCAUUUGGAAGACAUGGUGGUUGCAGGUUAUUGAAACAUUCCUGCAUCAAUAAUUAUAUAUUUACAGAAAGGCCCAUUUUUAUUUUUUAAAUGUUUAAAGUGCCAAUUUCUGUCCUUCUUUUGCCUCCAUAAACAAUAUGAUUUUUCUUAAUUGAAAACAAUCCAAAUACAUUUGCAGUAGAAAUAUUGUGGCUUAUCUAGUCAAAUAUUUUAUUCUUCAGACUUUUUUUUUUCACCAAGAUCUCUUUGGUCUUAACCUGUAGUUCAAAAUUUUUUGUUUGUUUUAGACUGAGUUGAUUUUGUCUCAUUAGUUUCCCUCCCCCCAUUAUCUUCAGUUUUGAUAAAGUCCCAAGUACUUCCUUACUUACAUUACUAAAGGAAACCCUCAUAAAUAUCUAA
Non-coding RNA from Pelodiscus sinensis (Chinese soft-shelled turtle), 4258 nucleotides. The record is from RefSeq and is a predicted model, not a curated record. NCBI's taxonomy places the organism in Eukaryota, Metazoa, Chordata, Testudines, Trionychidae.